Molecule: ribosomal RNA, 292 nt
Filed under: uncultured bacterium
Lineage: Bacteria
Description: partial 16S ribosomal RNA
Rfam family: Bacterial small subunit ribosomal RNA
Source: RNAcentral
GUGCCAGCAGCCGCGGUAAUACGGAGGGGGCGAGCGUUAUUCGGAAUUAUUGGGCGUAAAGGGCGCGUAGGCGGCUCUUUAAGUCAAAGGUGAAAUCCCUCGGCUCAACUGAGGAACUGCCUUUGAAACUGAGGAGCUUGAGUCCGGGAGGGGGUAGCGGAAUUCCCAGUGUAGCGGUGAAAUGCGUAGAUAUUGGGAGGAACACCAGUGGCGAAGGCGGCUACCUGGACCGGAACUGACGCUGAUGCGCGAAAGCGUGGGUAGCAAACAGGAUUAGAAACCCCCGUAGUCC